This 498-nucleotide ribosomal RNA is filed under the name Rahnella sp. RNAcentral describes it as "bacterial SSU rRNA". It matches the Rfam family "Bacterial small subunit ribosomal RNA", at positions 22 to 509 of the family's 1533-position model. The record is from RNAcentral. Lineage: Bacteria; Pseudomonadati; Pseudomonadota; Gammaproteobacteria; Enterobacterales; Yersiniaceae.
GCUCAGAUUGAACGCUGGCGGCAGGCCUAACACAUGCAAGUCGAGCGGCAGCGGAAAGUAGCUUGCUACUUUGCCGGCGAGCGGCGGACGGGUGAGUAAUGUCUGGGAAACUGCCUGAUGGAGGGGGAUAACUACUGGAAACGGUAGCUAAUACCGCAUGACCUCGAAAGAGCAAAGUGGGGGAUCUUCGGACCUCACGCCAUCGGAUGUGCCCAGAUGGGAUUAGCUAGUAGGUGAGGUAAUGGCUCACCUAGGCGACGAUCCCUAGCUGGUCUGAGAGGAUGACCAGCCACACUGGAACUGAGACACGGUCCAGACUCCUACGGGAGGCAGCAGUGGGGAAUAUUGCACAAUGGGCGCAAGCCUGAUGCAGCCAUGCCGCGUGUGUGAAGAAGGCCUUAGGGUUGUAAAGCACUUUCAGCGAGGAGGAAGGCAUCACACUUAAUACGUGUGGUGAUUGACGUUACUCGCAGAAGAAGCACCGGCUAACUCCGUGCC